This 1908-nucleotide long non-coding RNA is filed under the name Marmota monax (woodchuck). The record is from RNAcentral. Lineage: Eukaryota; Metazoa; Chordata; Mammalia; Rodentia; Sciuridae.
CAACUACAGAAGAAUAUCCUGGCCCUUUUGUAAAUUUUAUUUUGAGACAGGGUCUGGUUAAGGGAUCCAGGGUGUCCUAGAAGUUUUAAUUUUUCUGCCACAUUUGUUGAAUAUUAUGAGAUUACCAGUAUGCUCCAGCACAUCCAGCUAUUUUUCUUCCUUCUAUUUAUAGUUGUUUUGUACUUGUAGUCAUGAAAAGGUGUUGUUGCCAGAUGGAUGCAACAAAAGGGUUUUUAAUUAGGAACAGAUAUUGGAGGAGACACUCAGUAGACAGAGCAAGGGGAGUUACUGAAGUGAGAGUACACUGCUUUAGAAAGGGCCAGUGGGCUCGUCCAUGAGAAUGGGCGGCCCUGAGGCAAAGAAGGAGCUGGGAAGUUGGCUGUGAGAAAUAAAACACACCAGAUCUGGGAUGCUAAAGUUAGUGAUGGGAUAUGGAAUAUUGCUCCAUAAGAGCAAAGCAUGUUGAUAGAAAUUUUUUCUGUAGUUUCAUUUGGAAACUUUAGAAACUUGAGAGGAAGUUGAAGAGUUUGUUUCUCAACUCAUUGUUUCCAGAGUCUCAGUAAAAACUGUUUUUGGUCUGGUUUCAGAAGAGCAGAGCCAAGAAGAGGAGAGAUUAAAGGCUUUAGUCACUGCUCAUACUUGGAGAAGUUGUCCUAAGGCAAAAGUGAAGUAGCAAAGAGAGCAAGCAAACUUCACUUAAUAAUUAUGAACUACAUAUCUGAUUUGAGGAGUUAUAAUGCCAGAACAGUAAGCAGAGGUCUUCAAGAAAUUCACAGCCCAUCGGAUGAAUUCUUUGAAGCUGUGUGUGAGCCUGGAAUAUCUUUAGGAUCCUGAGGGAGGAUUUUUUCCCAGGAGAGGUUGAUCCAACUCUUUAUGCUGAGUUCCUUUAUGGCCAUAGAGGGAGCUAAAAUGAGGUGUAAUGUGCCUUCCAACUAGGUUGUAGCUGAUUUGAUGGCUUCAUAUCCUUCCAUGUCUCAAGAAAAACCUGGCCUCCUGGCUUUCCUUUCUUGUGUAUCUCUAUGGAAUUUACUGGACAUGGCCAACAAGCAUUUCCUUAUUCUUGGACUGUGGCCUGAACUCAUCCCAGAUCAGUCAGGUAGUGCAGAAUCUGAUUCACUUCUGGGUCAAUGAUUAUAUUUGCUGAUAUCUCAUAUGGAUGUAACGUCAGAUUAACUUUCAGAGAAUUUCUAACUCUCUUAAAGCCAAUGUGUUAUAAAUUUAUUCAGUUUUGGAUGUUGCCUGACUACUUAGCAGAAGUACUCUUAAGGGAAUGGUUGGCGCUUUUUAUAUUACUGGACGAAAAUGGUGCUUAAGGAAAUGUAGAUAAUACUAUAUCCCCAGUGCUUUUGCUACUAGCUGGGUAAUUUGUGCCCUGAAAUCUUGACCUUUGUCACUUUGUAGUGAUCUUUGGAAGCCAAAGGAGGGAUGAUUUCCUUUUGGAAUACCUUUGCCACCUCUGGUGCCUUUUAUUUCUAAAAGAAAAAUCUGUAACCUCCCUGUAAAUGUAUAUAUGAGGAUUAUUAUGAGUUUAUAUCCUGUGAACUAGGGAAUAUGGGUGAAAUCUUGGGUCCAGUCUCUGCCUAGGUUUGAUCCCCAGUGCUGAUCAGGUCCUAAGAUGGGUGGUGAUAGCACCUUUCUGAAGUUAUUGAAGGUGUAGAGAGAGUGGUUUCAGGAGAGCUGGUGGGUGGUCUUUGAUGUUAGAAAGUCCAUAAACAUCUGAAUGACUCUUAUAUACUGCAUCUAUUGCCUGUCAGUGUAAUGCCUCAGGAAAAUGUAUUUGUUGUUUUCGUAUAACAAAGACCUAGUGGAUUCUUCCUGUUUCUUUACCCACAUAGGUUCUUCUUAAGACAUUAUUUUAUUUGCAUUUAGGGUGGGGAGGUCUAAUGGGGAUUGAAAUUGACCACUGAC